This 432-nucleotide ribosomal RNA is filed under the name Globigerinita uvula. Its description in RNAcentral is "bacterial SSU rRNA". It matches the Rfam family "Eukaryotic small subunit ribosomal RNA", at positions 1174 to 1432 of the family's 1831-position model. Lineage: Eukaryota; Foraminifera; Rotaliida; Globigerinitidae. The record is from RNAcentral.
GCGUGGAGCAUGUGGCUUAAUUUGACUCAACGCGGGAAAUCUUACCGGGUCCGGACACACUGAGGAUUGACAGGCAAUAUAUGUGACUCUUCGGAGUUUGCAUUGUUAAAUAUGCUAGUCCUUUCAUGAUUAUGUGAUAGGUGGUGCAUGGCCGUUCUUAGUUCGUGGAGUGAUCUGUCUGCUUAAUUGCGUUUCAAAUUACUUAUAAGGUAGCAAUACGCGAUGAAGCUUUCAAUAGUCCUCACGGAUUCACUUGAGUCUCUCGCUUCGCUAUCCUUUCNAAUGCAACGAACGUGACCGCAACCUCUUGUUGCCUUCGUUUAACAUCCUGCAGCUCGCUGUGGGUACUGAGGGCUUCACUCGGUGACUUUGGGCUGAGCAAUCGGUCUCUUUUGAUCUGAGNAAACUAGAGGGACCGCUGUCAACUUCUUA